AAGAUUUACACGCUCUGAAAAUCACCUUUUUGUCUAAAAAUUUACGAAAAACAUGGCCGCGGUGCGCAAAUAAUGAGUUGGUUAUUUCAAAAAUGUCCUAUUAUUCUUCAGUAAAACUUCUUGUUAAUUUAAGACUCUAAUAACUUGCUUGACAUACCCAUAGGCAAAUAUCUGUUAUCGGUGUAAUUACACCUUUGGAGAAAAGCGUGAUUCGCACGUUUUAAUUUCAUCAUUCGCCGCCUGAAGAGACAAGAUGGUGGAGCUUGCGAAAUCGAAAUAAAUAAUAAUUAAAGACACUGAUUCUGGUGUGCCUGGUAUGUGGCCUAUGGGGAUGAUAAGGUCUGGUAUUGGAGUUAAGACAAUGAAAUAGAAGAACUUCAUGCUAACACUUGCAUCAGUGGAAGUACUUCUUAUUGGAUAGAGAACUUUACAAGGUCAGCCAUCAGCUUUUGAAGUUGCUUUCUUGGCACAUCAUGCUGUCCAGUGGAGUUCAUACCAUAUGCCAGGCCUUUAUACAUGGUCAAAGAAGAUGAAUUUGUUAUUCAAUUUGUGAAAUUUGAU
Mercenaria mercenaria is the source of this 561-nucleotide long non-coding RNA. RefSeq lists it as uncharacterized. The record is from RefSeq and is a predicted model, not a curated record. The transcript has 4 exons. NCBI's taxonomy places the organism in Eukaryota, Metazoa, Mollusca, Bivalvia, Venerida, Veneridae.